This is a long non-coding RNA of Drosophila pseudoobscura, 526 nucleotides long. RefSeq lists it as uncharacterized. The record is from RefSeq and is a predicted model, not a curated record. The transcript is spliced from 2 exons. Lineage: Eukaryota; Metazoa; Arthropoda; Insecta; Diptera; Drosophilidae.
UCUAUCUCUAUCUUAUUGCGAUAUAGAUACUCGUAGAAUGCACAAGGCGGAGAGCUGCCAGAAGUAACUGGAACUGGGUAACACCUUCGGAGAGACAUCAAGACAGACCGACAGAGAGACAGAGAGACAGACAGACACUUGGCCAACACAAAGCCACUUGGCUGAAAAGAGCGGCUCAAGGUCAUCACGCCACCACACACUAACAACAAAAUACACACAAACCAAAAGCAACAAACCAAAACAGAAACCAAAGUGAACCAUAGCCAUAGUCGAUUCUCCCGGCAAAGUGAUACCCCGUACUCGAAACACUCUUCUCGGCUUGAGCAUGAUGUUGAUUCGCUGUGAAAAUUUCCCAUAAAAAGACAAAUCUUGGUUUAUAGAGAAGUAUAGAGAACUGCCUGGAUCUUCCCUCAGCAUUUUCUGGCUAUCAAUGCUGUUGCUUUUUGAGGAGAACUUGGUUUUAUUUUGAUUUGACAAAAUUAGGUACUAACAUAGCGAAAUGAAACAGAAAUUAAAUUAAAUAUAU